AUGUUGUUUUCUAAUAUUAUGUCCUUAUAUAUUUUGGAGCAGAAAAGACAUGAUGGAGGAGGAAAAGAGGGGGUUAACAGAAAGGCAUUCUUUGAGGGACCCCCGCCCCCCAUUCAAAUUCAAGUUCACAAUUGUUCAGCUUUGUCAACUGUGUGCAAUUCUUUCCUGAUGGGAACAGAUUUGCCACGGCCAGUGCUGACGGCCAGAUACACAUGUAUGACGGUAAGACCGGGGAGAAGGUGUGAAUGCUGGGCAGAAGAAAGGCCCACGACAGCGGGAUUUACGUCAUUAGUUUGGAGUCCGGACAGCACCCAUUGCUUUCUGCUUCUGGGGACAAAACUUCCAAGAUUUGGGAUGCCAACGUGAACUUGGUGGUCAGCACAAUUCCCAUGGGCUCCACGGUUCUGGACCAGCAGCUGGGCUGCCUGUGGAAGAAGGACCACCUGCUCAGUGUCUCCCCGUUUGGGUACAUCAACUAUUUGGACAGAAACAACCCCAGCAAGCCCCUGCGCGUCAUCAAGGGCCACAGUAAAUCGAUCCUGUGUCUGACGGUGCAUAAAAACGGAGGCAAGUCCUACACUUACUACCGGAGCCACGACGGACACAUUAAUUCCUGGGAUUCGGAGACAGAGGAGAAGGACUCUUUCGCUGGGAAGGGCCACACGAACCAGGUGUCCAGAUGGACCAUGGCGGAGUCGGGGUGGCUCAUCAGCUGCUGCAUAGACGACACCGUGCGGUACACCAGCCUCACGCCGCGGGGCUACAGUGGACAAGGAGUGGUGAAACUGGACGUUCAGCCAAAGUGCGCAGCCGUCGGCCCCGGGGGAUACGCCAUGGUCGGGUGCAUCCGGCAGAGAGUCCUGCUGGAGACUCAGAGGAAGUGCUUCAGCAAUCACAACCCCGGCUCCCAGCCCGGAGCUGUGGCCGCGCAGCCCGGCGGAGGGGGGGCGCGCACGCACUUCCGCCCGCCCGUACUCCAUCUUGGGCACCAGGCUGAAGGACGAGGGCGAGCUCCGAGAGGCCAAGGGCCGGGUGACCGAGGUGGCCUCCUCCCACGACGGCGCCUUCCUCGCGGUGUGCGACGCCAGCAAGCUGGUCACGGUGUUCAACGUUGCCGGCGGCUACUCGAGAACAGUGUUUUUGAUGGACACCAUGCAAAAAUCGUCUGCCUGGCCUGGUCCCCAAACGAUGAACACUUUGGCCCCAGUGGCGGGGACAGGAUGGUGUACAUCUGGACCCUGAGUGACCCGGAAACCAGAGUCAAGAUCCAAGGCGCACAUCGGCUGCACUAUGUCAGCAGCCUGGCCUGGCCUGGCUGGACGAGCGCACGCUGGGCACGACCUCCCACGUCGCCUCUGUUAAGGAGUGGACAAUCACCUACUGA
Molecule: RNA transcript, 1384 nt
Organism: Cebus imitator (Panamanian white-faced capuchin)
Lineage: Eukaryota; Metazoa; Chordata; Mammalia; Primates; Cebidae
Gene name: WD repeat-containing protein 1-like
Exons: 2
Source: RefSeq, a predicted model, not a curated record